This 472-nucleotide ribosomal RNA is filed under the name uncultured bacterium. Its description in RNAcentral is "bacterial SSU rRNA". It matches the Rfam family "Bacterial small subunit ribosomal RNA", at positions 329 to 793 of the family's 1533-position model. The record is from RNAcentral.
CUACGCACUCCUACGGGAGGCAGCAGUGGGGAAUAUUAGCACAAUGGGCGCAAGCCUGAUGCAGCCAUGCCGCGUGUAUGAAGAAGGCCUUCGGGUUGUAAAGUACUUUCAGCAGUGAGGAAGGUGGGUAUGUUAAUAGCAUAUUCAUUUGACGUUAGCUGCAGAAGAAGCACCGGCUAACUCCGUGCCAGCAGCCGCGGUAAUACGGAGGGUGCGAGCGUUAAUCGGAAUUACUGGGCGUAAAGCGCAUGCAGGUGGUUUGUUAAGUCAGAUGUGAAAGCCCGGGGCUCAACCUCGGAAUUGCAUUUGAAACUGGCAAACUAGAGUACUGUAGAGGGGGUAGAAUUUCAGGUGUAGCGGUGAAAUGCGUAGAGAUCUGAAGGAAUACCGGUGGCGAAGGCGGCCCCCUGGACAGAUACUGACACUCAGAUGCGAAAGCGUGGGGAGCAAACAGGAUUAGAUACCCUGGUAG